UCUUUGUGUUACUAUGAGCCUAGUUCUGU
This 29-nucleotide non-coding RNA is filed under the name Mus musculus (house mouse). Lineage: Eukaryota; Metazoa; Chordata; Mammalia; Rodentia; Muridae. The record is from RNAcentral.